AGGAUUAAAGUUUAAUCUAAACAUCUAAUUUGCAUUUAGAAAAGACUUUUUAAAGUUAAUCUU
RNAcentral lists this transfer RNA (63 nucleotides) under Allocarsidara bakeri. Its description in RNAcentral is "tRNA-Ala". The record is from RNAcentral. Lineage: Eukaryota; Metazoa; Arthropoda; Insecta; Hemiptera; Carsidaridae.